This 586-nucleotide ribosomal RNA is filed under the name uncultured bacterium. Its description in RNAcentral is "partial 16S ribosomal RNA". It matches the Rfam family "Bacterial small subunit ribosomal RNA", at positions 355 to 1375 of the family's 1533-position model. The record is from RNAcentral.
UGGGGAAUUUUGGACAAUGGGCGAAAGCCUGAUCCAGCAAUGCCGCGUGUGUGAAGAAGGCCUUCGGGUUGUAAAGCACUUUUGUCCGGAAAGAAAUCCUUGGCUCUAAUACAGUCGAGGGAUGACGGUACCGGAAGAAUAAGCACCGGCUAACUACGUGCCAGCAGCCGCGGUAAUACGUAGGGUGCAAGCGUUAAUCGGAAUUACUGGGCGUAAAGCGUGCGCAGGCGGUUUGCUAAGACCGAUGUGAAAUCCCCGGGCUCAACCUGGGAACUGCAUUGGUGACUGGCAGGCUAGAGUAUGGCAGAGGGGGGUAGAAUUCCACGUGUAGCAGUGAAAUGCGUAGAGAUGUGGAGGAAUACCGAUGGCGAAGGCAGCCCCCUGGGCCAAAUACUGACGCUCAUGCACGAAAGCGUGGGGAGCAAACAGGAUUAGAUACCCUGGUAGUCCACGCCCUAAACGAUGUCAACUAGUUGUUGGGGAUUCAUUUCCUUAGUAACGUAGCUAACGCGUGAAGUUGACCGCCUGGGGAGUACGGUCGCAAGAUUAAAACUCAAAUGAAUUGACGGGGUCAUAGCUGUUUCCU